AAAGUCAAUCCCAAUCGCUAUAAACGACCAGAGCCCUAAUGUACUAGUCUAUAAGACUAGGUACAAUGGAACAUACUACGUUCAACCAUCAUUUGAUGUUCAAGAGAGUGAAGGAUAUGGGUCUCCUACAAAAUAAGGAGUACGAAUAUGUAGGUAGCGAUUUUU
This 165-nucleotide non-coding RNA is filed under the name unclassified sequences. Its description in RNAcentral is "RAGATH-9 RNA". It matches the Rfam family "RAGATH-9 RNA". Rfam says of the family: RNA motif Associated with Genes Associated with Twister and Hammerhead ribozymes (RAGATH). The record is from Rfam by way of RNAcentral.